Molecule: ribosomal RNA, 468 nt
Filed under: uncultured bacterium
Lineage: Bacteria
Description: partial 16S ribosomal RNA
Rfam family: Bacterial small subunit ribosomal RNA
Source: RNAcentral
GACGAACGCUGGCGGCGUGCUUAACACAUGCAAGUCGAACGGAAAGGCCCUGCUUUUGUGGGUUGCUCGAGUGGCGAACGGGUGAGUAACACGUGAGUAACCUGCCCUUGACUUUGGGAUAACUUCAGGAAACUGGGGCUAAUAUCGGAUAGGAGCUCCUGCUGCAUGGUGGGGGUUGGAAAGUUUCGGCGGUUGGGGAUGGACUCGCGGCUUAUCAGCUUGUUGGUGGGGUAGUGGCUUACCAAGGCUUUGACGGGUAGCCGGCCUGAGAGGGUGACCGGCGACAAUGGGACUGAGAGACGGCCCAGACUCCUACGGGAGGCAGCAGUGGGGAAUAUUGCAGAAUGAGCGGAAGCGUGAUGCAGAAACGCCGCGUGCGGGAUGACGGCCUUCGGGUUGUAAACCGCUUUCGCCGGUGACGAAGCGUGAGUGACGGUAAUGGGUAAAGAAGCACCGGCUAACUACGUG